RNAcentral lists this ribosomal RNA (966 nucleotides) under uncultured organism. RNAcentral's name for it is "bacterial SSU rRNA". It matches the Rfam family "Bacterial small subunit ribosomal RNA", at positions 63 to 1046 of the family's 1533-position model. The record is from RNAcentral.
CGAGCGAUGAUGCUCCUUCGGGAGUACAUCAGCGGCGAACGGGUGAGUAACACGUGGGUGACUUGCCCCGAUGAUGGGGAUAACCUCUGGAGACGGGGGCUAAUACCCAAUGUGCUCGGUGAUUCGGUUCAUCGAGUAAAGCUCCGGCGCUUCACGAGAUGCCUGCUGCCCAUCAGCUAGUUGGUAAGGUAACGGUCUACCAAGGCAGAGACGGGUAUGUGGCGUGAGAGCGCUGACGCCCACACUGGCACUGAGAUACUGGCCAGACUCCUACGGGAGGCAGCAGUAAGGGAUAUUGCAGCAAUGGACGAAAGUCAGACGCAGCGACGCCGUGUGGGCGAUGAACGCCUUCGGAUUGUAAAGCCCUUCUAUGGGGGAAGAGCAAAAAGGACGGUACCCCAGGAAUAAGUCCCGGCUAACUACGUGCCAGCAGCCGCGGUAAAACGUAGGGGACAAGCGUUAUCCGGAUGCACUGGGCGUAUAGAGCGUUGAGGCGGUUCCGUAAGUCAGGCGUGAAAGCUCCGGGCUUAACUCGGAGAUGUCGUUCAAUACUGCGGGGCUUGAGGACAGCAGAGGAAGGUGGAAUUCCCGGUGUAGUGGUGAAAUGCGUAGAUAUCGGGAGGAACACCCGUGACGAAGGCGGCCUUCUGGGCUGUUCCAGACGAUGAAGGCGCAAGCUAGGGGAACGAACGGGAUCAGAUACCCCGGUAGUCCUAGCUGUAGACGAUGGAUGCUGGAUGUGGGGGGUGUAAAUUCCCUCUGUCCACGAAGCGAACGCGUUAAGCAUCCCGCCUGGGGACUACGGCCGCAAGGCUUAAACUCAGACGAAAUGACGGGGGCCCGCACAAGCAGCGGAGCGUGUGGUCGAAUUAGAUGCGACACGAAGAACCUUACCUGGGUUUGACAUGCACGUGGUAGGGAAACCGAAAGGGGACCGACCUUCGGGAGUGUGCACAGGUGCUGCAU